Eriocheir sinensis (Chinese mitten crab) is the source of this 1209-nucleotide long non-coding RNA. RefSeq lists it as uncharacterized. The transcript has 3 exons. The record is from RefSeq and is a predicted model, not a curated record. Lineage: Eukaryota; Metazoa; Arthropoda; Malacostraca; Decapoda; Varunidae.
CCCUUACCUGCGUUUAAUUAGUCCCUACUUCCCACCUUGCUCUGCCCAGGUAAUGAAGUAACAGAGGGAUUAAGUGUUUUUCUGGUUAGGUUCGAGUACUUUAAUUGCUUCCUUUGUAUUCUUCAACCUCUUAUUUUCACCUCUACCUGCGUCUAAUUAGUCCCUUCUUCUCACCUUGCUCUGCCCAGGUAAUGAAGUAACAGAGGUAUUAAGUGUCUUCCUGGUUAGUUUCGAGUACUUUAAUAACCCCCUCUUGCAUUCUUUUGCCUGUUAUUUUUACCUGCAUUCUUUUACCUGUUAUUUUUUCCUUUUACCUGACUAAUUAACCUUCCCACCUUGCUCUGCCCAGGUAAUGAAGUAACAGAGGAAUUAAGUGUCUUUCUGGUUAGUUUCGAGUACUUUAAUAACCCCCUCUUGCAUUCUUUUGCCUGUUAUUUUUACCUGCAUUCUUUUACCUGUUAUUUUUUCCUUUUACCUGACUAAUUAACCUUCCCACCUUGCUCUGCCCAGGUAAUGAGGUAACAGGGAUUAAGUGUUUUUCUGAUUAGGUUCGAGUACUUUAAUUGCUUCCUUUGUAUUCUUCAACCGCUUAUUUUCACCUGUUCAUUGUUUACCUGUCUCCUAAUUAACCUCCUCUUCUCACCUUGCUCUGCCCAGGUGAUGAAGUAACAGGGAUUAAAUGUCUUUCUGAUUAGUUUCGAGUACUUUAAUAGCUUCCUUUGUAUUCUUCAACCUCUUAUUUCACCUCUACCUGCGUCUAAUUAGUCUUCUUCCCACCUUGCUCUGCCCAGGUGAAGAAGUAAGAGGGAUUAAAUGUCUUUGUGAUCUCUUUUAUAAUCUCCUAACCUUUCCCUCCUUCCUUUGUUCCUCUCUUCUCUCCUAAUCUCAUUCUCGAUAUUCCUUUUUCUUCCUUCUACCCCUUCUUCCUUUAUUUAUUUUACCCUUCUUCCCUCUAUUUCUCUAUCUUUGCCUACUUCUUUCCUUCCUUCAUUCAUUUGUCCAUUCGUCUCGUUCUUAGUUUUACGUUUCCAUCCUCUACCUGUCACUAAUUAAUUCCUUCCCACCUUGCUCUGUCCAGGUGUUCAACAAGCAAGAUGGAUACUAAGUCCUUCUGAUCAGUUUCUCAAAUAUAUUCAUAACCUCCUUUGUAUCCUUCUGUCCCUAUUAGCUUUACCUCUCCAUCCUUCACCUGUCCCUAAUCAAACCCUU